Molecule: transfer RNA, 87 nt
Filed under: Nitrospirota bacterium
Lineage: Bacteria; Pseudomonadati; Nitrospirota
Also listed under: 1 other name
Description: tRNA-Leu
Rfam family: tRNA
About the family: Transfer RNA (tRNA) molecules are approximately 80 nucleotides in length.
Source: RNAcentral
GCCGAAGUGGUGGAACUGGUAGACACGCCGUCUUGAGGGGGCGGUGGGAGUAAUCCCGUGCGGGUUCGAGUCCCGCCUUCGGCACCA